UUUGACAUGUACUGAUAUCAGCUUCGUUUGAUUUUCGUGCGUGUGCUUGUAACACAAUCAGUUCACAUGUCGAGAUACCAUAAGUUCAAGUCCACUAGUAUUUAUAAAUGUUGGUUUGCAGUACUAGUAUUUACAAAUUUCUUAUAAUUUCCACGGGUCGGAGGCCGUAUAUAUUUCUUAUUUCUGUUGCUACAAGUUCAAGUGAUCAAAUGCUAUAAGGUCGCAUGUUAUUCUCCAAUUAGAAAAAUAUAAACAAUGAUGCUACAAGUUCAAGCUUGCCUAUGUGUCCUAGUGUGUUCCCCGUUCGUCUUUCCAUAUAGUGUAUUCUGAACAUUAGAUGCUUUCAAGAAAUUUGUCGCGCAAGUUCAAGUAUAAUUGCUGCACGAGUUCAAAAUCCUGAACAGUUUAAGCUCAACCCGAUUUCAAGAACUGUUUCCUUCAUAAAUUGUUUUUAUGUUAGUUUGUUGUUAUGGACAGUAUAGGUGCAAAUUAUUGUGUAGUACAUGUGUCCGUUGAUGUGUUUGAAUCCCUUCAGUUCACUUUGAUUCAUAUACAGGUGGUUCAACGUGUCGAGCGGUAGCAGCGCUUGCUCCCAAUGGUUGCCCGCGCAAGGAGGAUACAGGGAUGUUACAUUGCUGGAGGAGCAGUAGCAUGUAGUAGCUAGCUGAAGAAAAGCCAGCGGCCUGCUCUGGCCAUGCAGCACCACCACUGGCACGUCCACCAUGGUUGCUGGCAGCCGUCCAAGUUGAGCGCUGAUGGGAGUCCUUAGCGUGCUUCAACGACACUCUCUCAUAUCAAUCUCUCUCUUUCUUUGCUCCUGCUAUUAAAAUGUGUAGAUGUGCUGCUUUGCUAAUUGAGUAGUUGGGAAGAUGUGAAAAGAACAUGCUCUCUAGGUGUGUGAUUAUUCCUGUGAGCACAAAUGUAUUUAAAUGUUUAUUUUGUGCUUCAGCUUAUGCUUUUGGGCAGUA
Aegilops tauschii subsp. strangulata is the source of this 968-nucleotide long non-coding RNA. RefSeq lists it as uncharacterized. The record is from RefSeq and is a predicted model, not a curated record. Lineage: Eukaryota; Viridiplantae; Streptophyta; Magnoliopsida; Poales; Poaceae.